This 862-nucleotide ribosomal RNA is filed under the name uncultured bacterium. RNAcentral's name for it is "bacterial SSU rRNA". It matches the Rfam family "Bacterial small subunit ribosomal RNA", at positions 8 to 916 of the family's 1533-position model. The record is from RNAcentral.
AGAGUUUUGAUCCUGGCUCAGAGUGAACGCUGGCGGCAGGCCUAACACAUGCAAGUCGAACGAACUCUUCGGAGUUAGUGGCGGACGGGUGAGUAACACGUGGGAACGUGCCUUUAGGUUCGGAAUAACUCAGGGAAACUUGUGCUAAUACCGAAUGUGCCCUUCGGGGGAAAGAUUUAUCGCCUUUAGAGCGGCCCGCGUCUGAUUAGCUAGUUGGUGAGGUAAAGGCUCACCAAGGCGACGAUCAGUAGCUGGUCUGAGAGGAUGAUCAGCCACAUUGGGACUGAGACACGGCCCAAACUCCUACGGGAGGCAGCAGUGGGGAAUCUUGCGCAAUGGGCGAAAGCCUGACGCAGCCAUGCCGCGUGAAUGAUGAAGGUCUUAGGAUUGUAAAAUUCUUUCACCGGGGACGAUAAUGACGGUACCCGGAGAAGAAGCCCCGGCUAACUUCGUGCCAGCAGCCGCGGUAAUACGAAGGGGGCUAGCGUUGCUCGGAAUUACUGGGCGUAAAGGGAGCGUAGGCGGACAUUUAAGUCAGGGGUGAAAUCCCGGGGCUCAACCUCGGAAUUGCCUUUGAUACUGGGUGUCUUGAGUAUGAGAGAGGUAUGUGGAACUCCGAGUGUAGAGGUGAAAUUCGUAGAUAUUCGGAAGAACACCAGUGGCGAAGGCGACAUACUGGCUCAUUACUGACGCUGAGGCUCGAAAGCGUGGGGAGCAAACAGGAUUAGAUACCCUGGUAGUCCACGCCGUAAACGAUGAUUGCUAGUUGUCGGGAUGCAUGCAUUUCGGUGACGCAGCUAACGCAUUAAGCAAUCCGCCUGGGGAGUACGGUCGCAAGAUUAAAACUCAAAGGAAUUGACGG